This is a long non-coding RNA of Saccostrea cuccullata (small rock oyster), 562 nucleotides long. RefSeq lists it as uncharacterized. The record is from RefSeq and is a predicted model, not a curated record. The transcript is spliced from 5 exons. Lineage: Eukaryota; Metazoa; Mollusca; Bivalvia; Ostreida; Ostreidae.
AAUGUCAACUUGGAUUUGGAUUUUUUUCCGGCUAAAAAUGGUCCGUAGCUUUUCUCAGGAUCGGUUUUGUUUUUAUCGGAUGAAACUGUACGUCAUGCUUGACGUCACCAGCUGUAACAGAAAUUGAAAACACAGAGGAAAAAGGAUUUAUCAAGUCUCUGUUAAAACUGGAACUCGGUAUCACAUCUGACUCGCACUUCUGAAAUGGAUCAAAUCGGACUUUGUCGUCGAGACUCGGAGGAACCCAGCUGCCUAAAUUAUUAUGCCAGUGGAACACAAAACAGGUAUCAAAAAUACUUUUAUGCAAGACAUGGAGAAAAGAGCAGACUACAGCCUCUAUAUACCAUUCCUUGGUGCAUCCUUGAAUUGAUGUUUUUUCAGGAUAACCAUGCAGGAAUAAAGGUUAACUCAGUAUAAAGUCUUGCUGACAUGAACAUGAUAAUCACAAGAAAGUGAAUAUAUUUCAUCACCUUAAGCAAUCUUCAAAAUACCAGAUUGGAAAAAGAAAGAAGAUUUGUAGCAUUGUAUUGAAUAUGCCUGAUUAAAAGUAUUAAUGGAUGAA